RNAcentral lists this ribosomal RNA (406 nucleotides) under uncultured bacterium. RNAcentral describes it as "partial 16S ribosomal RNA". It matches the Rfam family "Bacterial small subunit ribosomal RNA", at positions 30 to 526 of the family's 1533-position model. The record is from RNAcentral.
AUUGAACGCUGGCGGCAGGCCUAACACAUGCAAGUCGAACGAGUGGCGGACGGGUGAGAAAUGUCUGGGACACUGCCUGAAGGAGGGGGAUAACUACUGAAAACGGUAGCUAAUACCGCAUACCAUCGGAUGUGCCCAGAUGUGAUUAGCUAGUAGGUGGGUUAACGGCUCACCAAGGCGACGAGCCCUAGCUGGUCUGAGAGGAUGACCAGCCACACUGGAACUGAGACACGGUCCAGACUCCUACGGGAGGCAGCAGUGGGGAAUAUUGCGCAAUGGGCGCAAGCCUGAUGCAGCCAUGCCGCGUGUGUGAAGAAGGCUUUCGGGUUGUAAAGCACUGUCAGCGGGGAGGCGUUACCCGCAGAAGAAGCACCGGCUAACUCCGUGCCAGCAGCCGCGGUAAUAC